AAGAUGUUUCCUUAAAUGUGUGUAAAGCAAAGUUAGAAUACAAAGGGCUCUGAAUUGUGUGUGUUUACGGCGUAUUCGAUCUGUGCAUGUUGUACCGUAUUUAAUCUGUUGACAGAGUUUGCUUAUUUCUGUACGGCACCCGAUCGCCGCUUUAAAUGUAACUUCGUCUAAAAAUCCGAAUGAUAUUGAGUAGAUUUGUCAUGUCCUUUUUAUUGAACUGAAUACGUUGAACAAUGGAAAUAUUUUAGAGUAUACGUUUAAGAGAAACUCAACUUCAAAAUCAGGAUUAAGGAUAUGCUAUACAUUUGUAGUAUGUAAAAUUUCAAGAAAACGAACAUUUAACAUGUUUAUAUAUUAUAUAUAUAUAUAUAUAUAUAUAAUACCAAACCCAGUAUCCCAAACAGAUUGUGUGUCGUUUCCUUUAAUGAUGAAUUGUUUAUAUAUAGACUGAGUCCAUUCCUUCCGUCAGUUUUCUAUUUUGAAUCACAGAGGAGAGGAACUCUUAGAAGCAGAUAGAAGAGGAAUGAACAAAACAUUUAUAGCUGAUACGACGGCAGAGGAGUAUGAAAUUGUUAUGUCUUGUAAUCCCAACACCGGUACAUCAAAUGAAUCCCUG
Saccostrea cuccullata (small rock oyster) is the source of this 616-nucleotide long non-coding RNA. RefSeq lists it as uncharacterized. NCBI's taxonomy places the organism in Eukaryota, Metazoa, Mollusca, Bivalvia, Ostreida, Ostreidae. The record is from RefSeq and is a predicted model, not a curated record. The transcript has 3 exons.